RNAcentral lists this long non-coding RNA (3032 nucleotides) under Canis lupus familiaris (dog). RNAcentral's name for it is "lncRNA (ENSCAFG00845012018.1)". The record is from RNAcentral. Lineage: Eukaryota; Metazoa; Chordata; Mammalia; Carnivora; Canidae.
AACAAUGAAAGCCAAUUUAAUCAAUCUACCACAGCCAAGCCAUACAACUACAGCUGAAACUCAGUAUCUUGGGAAACAAAUGUCAUCUCUGUAUUACCCACCAUUAUAUUCCCAUGUGAACAAUAAAUAUUUAUUGAAUGAACAAAUUCACUAAUGUGACAGACCAAGGGAGAAUAGCCUCAGUGUAUAUGUACUGAAUGCACUGAUGUGGUUCCGGGCAUCAAGCUAGGCCUCUGGGACAGAACUGUAAACAAAACAAGCCCCUUUCCACCCCAUCACAAGUAGCUAAAAUCACUUUCAAAUAAUGCCCUAUUCGCAAAGCAGGCAGAUCUCAAAUGCUUUCUCUAGGAUUGCAGGCAGGAUCAUCCCAAGCCAAUCUUAUUAUGCCCUCACACUUUAAAUCAAGGGUGAGGAGGAAGUGAGAAGUUUCAAAAGUGCAAAAGGCAGCCUGGGAAAGGAAAGGGUAAAUUACCUGGUGGUCUUGAGGCUGCAAAUCAUAGAAACCAACUCUGGAUAAGUCCCAUAGCAAAGGAAUGUAUUAGGAAGUAGUGGCAACAGAAAUGAUAGGAAGGCUGGAGAACCAUGCUUGGACAAAGACUGGGUAGGGCCAGAGUCUGCUCAGCAAUUACUGUUCAAUAGUCUUGUAAAGGCAAUGCAGCUUAAGAAAAAGACUGUAUUUUUCCUGUCCUUGCAGCACUCUGCCCAAGACCCAAAGUCCAGAGACAGAGACUCCAAUUAGCCUGGUUUGGGUUACAUGACUACUCCCUUAGCUAGGGGUCUGAUGGACCCAGAGUCGGUGGUCAGGAACAUCUAACCCUAGUACACCACCUGACAACCCGGAACUAAGUAUUAUCUGAUCAAUCUGACCAUAAAAUCAGCUCUGCCCCAGUAGUACUCUUUCAAAUACCAAGUGGAUGUAAGUAGUUCCCAAAGUCACAUGGAAAUUGCUUGACUAGGGAGCCAACCUUGAAGCAGUUCCCAUGUGAGAAAUAUCCAAGGUGUUGAUUGGAGAGGCUUGGAUCACAUGCUCACUCCAUGGAGCCAGAAGUGGAGCCCCACCCGGAGCCCACAGACUGGCAUUUCUUCAGAUAGAAUCAGGGCUCUUUAACUAAAAAAAGAGGAAACAAACCUGAGAGAAGAGAAUACUAAAAAGCAACACAAAUAUCCACCACAUUUACACCUUUUGCUGUCCAGUCUCCAAAUACAAUUUUUCCCCAAGUGAAGAUAGUCCAAACCUCAUCAUAUUACUACAUUCAGUGCCAAAUCCAAGAUGUACAAUUUUCUUGGUCAGAUUUAGAUGGUCCAGCAUCCAUGACUAAAUGAUGAUCAAAUUAACCAAUAUCAUUAUUGGAGAGAAAACAAGUAACUACAGUAAAGAGCCCCCAUUUGGUAAGGGAGAGAAAAAUAUAUCUCAUCCCACCACCAUUGUCAAUAUAUCCUGUGAAACAGCAAUAGCCAAGACUGUUCCAUGGAAGAGAAGCGAGUGUCCUGGUCAGCCCACUGGUAGCCGCUAAUUCUGCCCUCUAGAAGGAUCUCCUUUGAUCACUGAUCAUAGGACAUUGUUGUCAAAGUUGAGGUCUACCUGAGAAGACAACUUCCUUUAAACUCUAGGAGAAGCUUCUGGUCAAUUCCAGAAGCUAGAAACUAAAGGUCAGUAACUUGACUAGUCUAUGUCCUGAAUCUAAACAUUUACUGAGGAUUCUGGUUCCUGGGCAGUUGCUUCAGUGUUCUGAUCAUCUCCCUAGCCUCCACCUAAAGCAAUUAUAAACUGGGAAGUGGGAUGGAGAGACUUACCAUUAUGACCUUUGACUCCAAACUGUAGCCCAACCUCAUUUUUAUGGUAAAUGUCAUUAUCACCUCUGACAAUCAGACACCUCAUAACAAGAAGUGCAUGCAAGGAUCCUCGAGAGUCAGCUUCUCAUUUCCUUCUGUAGUUCCUAUCUUCAUCCUAUUGAUUAUACUAACUUUAUCAUUAGGCAGAGAACUUGGCUUUUCCAACUAUCCAAGGCUCCGGAGCACCAGGCUUUACACCACUUCAUUUUGUGGCUGCAAUCAGUGUCUAUAAAAAGGGUUUCCACCCCCAACUUUUCCUGUUUUUAAAAUGGGUUUUAGCUUAAGUGUAAAUUUAUUCUAGUAUACUACUAAAUUGUAGCCAAAAGAUGUCAAUACUUUCACAUUUUCCUUCUGUGCUUCUGAAAGAUUCAAAUGGUCUGAGUCCCAAGUUACUACAGGCUACAGCUUGACAAGCUUUCCCCCUAUUGCUUAAUAAUGGUGCCAACUUCCUAGCCCUGGAUAGCAUCUUUUCUGCCCUCCAUCCUCCCUUGCCUACAUAAUUUGACAUGUUAAGCUCUGUGACUUGUAGCACCCAAUUUCUAUAUCACUUAGGAUUCCCUGGCUGCAAGCACUGAAACUCUUUCCAAUCUACACAGAAAAAUGAAUUCUUUGGAAAUAUAUGAGUAGCUCACAGAAGGACUGGAAAGCUACAUUUGCAAAAAGAAGAUUCAGAUAAAGCUGCAGAGGUAACAGAAACUAUUUGGUAUUUUUAAAAGGAUACCACCAGUGGUAGAAAUGAGCUCCAAUUUUUCCUAUUCAUAUAUAAAUCUAUGCAAUGUAUAACAAUAGUGAGUUUCAUUAGCCUUGCUUGGGUCUUCAACCAACCCCUUAGGUUAGGGGAGAACUAGGCAUCUAAUUGUACUGGUCUACUAAAACUGCCUACCAUGGGGAAGAAGAAAUUCUCAAAAGAAAUCAGGAUGCUAGUUCCACAAAAAGACAAAAUGAAUGCUGGGUGGAACAAAAUAAAAUAGCUACUUAGGAGAAAGGGAAGUUAUGCCAUUUCCUUAGGACUUCUUCAGAACCCACUAUUGAGGUUAUUUCCUGUUCCCUUCAACACCUACACUCUUGGAUUGUAGACACACUGCCAGUUUGAUGGUUAGAUCCAAAGGGCUAAUUUACACUAACUGUUUUCUAUCUAAGAAGAUAUGGCAUAUAAUAGUCCUACUGUGGGUGGGGGGGAAAAAAGGAAAAUACUUCAC